AAGAGGUAAACUACAUGGCUAAAUUAACGAAAGCUCCAUAGAGAGGACACUGUAAGGGUUUGGUUUUGUAUCAGCGAGCCGAAUAUUAAGGAGGAAGUUAAGCUAAAAAGCAGUUUUCGGAGGUUUUUGGUUUCGCCUCUAUAUCUUUUUGUUUCUACGCAGCAAUUAUGCUAACCAUAUGUUCUCUAUUCGUUCAACGUUGCAAACGAUCUAGCAAAUAAGCUCCAUUUUGUGUGGCAACACAGAGCAGAGGUCCUCUUGGCUCCUGUCCGCCACAUGAGGGGUUCUGGACCUAACGCUCCAUCAAACCCGCAAUAAAUCCAGGGUGAAAGGUGAGUUUUUAUGAUGGCUGAAAACUGUUAGAGAACACAUCCUGUUUCCAUGAUGUCAAGGCAGGAAGCAAGAGCCACCUACAGGUUGCUGAUGAUUUGGAGGAUGAAUCUGGCUCUCUGGCUUACUCUGCUUUUCCCUGAUGGAAAAUCUCUGAUGGCGGCAAGAUUCUUUGAAGCUGCUGUCAUUAUUUGAAGAGAGGAACAUGUCAGGAAGAGGAGCGGGAUAAGGUGCUCGAAAACUUCAUAUUUAUUAUUGUUACGCUACACUUCAAAAAGACAAAUUGACUUGAGGGAUAAUAAUAUAAUCUAGAAUGUGUUGAUCUGACUGUCCAAGAGUGAAAAGCAGAGGACAUAUAAUCAUCAACAGCCUGCCUGUGCAUGUUCACUGGCUGUUUGUCUCCUCCCUCAACAUUCUCGUCCAAUUCACCCCACUUCUCCCCAACCUUUGACCUCUGCAUGUCCACCCCUUCCCCCAGACACACACAGAGACAUGCUGCUCCUGACAUGCUGUUCUAACGCCAAGAGGCAGAAAUCCUUUCAUAAAUUUGUUUUGUUACAUGUAUGGAGAAAAAUGUUCUAUAUAGCAGUGAAGUAACUAAACACACAUUCUCUGCUUUCUCUGUAUUAUUAAUGAGACAACAGAGUAUAUUAACUUCAAGAUUCAAUCUUUUGGCAAAAAAAACCCCAAACCUUUGAUAGUUUCAAGUUUCUAAGUUUAAAGUACAUGUUACUCAUGAGUAUGGUAUUUUUUACUAUAUUUUCAAUGCAUUCUACUGCUAGCAGCUACUAGUAUAUAAGUGACGUUGAAUCUGACUGUACGAUUGGGUUGAACUGACUUGUUUUGUAAAGUGCCUUGAGACAAUAUUUGUUGUGAACUGGUGUUAUAUAAAUGAACUGAAUUGAACUGAACUAGCUGUAGAGACAAUAUGGAGAUUAUAGUCAAGUAUGUUGAACUUCAGCUCUCUCAAUAGCCUGAACCUUAGAAACCUACAACUCUUAGGACACUGCUUGGAAAUGAGCCUUGACAAAUGUACUUCUUAUCCAUAUCACAGCUACUUUAUCUUUCCAUGCAUUGUUCAUAUGCAUUCUGACCUUUAUCUGUGCUACAUUUCCCUUCCUAAUAAAGUUCUUUAGAAAUAUUUCUUCAACAGCAUGUGUGCAAUCACAGAUGCUUAAUGGUGAAAAAGCAGAAACCAAACCUGAACUGAGCUUUCAAGAGUAUGCAAUCUCUAUACAUUCCACUUUUGGUACUUUGAGGUUUGAAAAUAAUGUAAGUUCAUUGUAAUUUAUAGUUUCAAAUAAAGUUGUUUUAUUCAUA
Molecule: long non-coding RNA, 1650 nt
Organism: Girardinichthys multiradiatus
Lineage: Eukaryota; Metazoa; Chordata; Actinopteri; Cyprinodontiformes; Goodeidae
Exons: 5
Source: RefSeq, a predicted model, not a curated record